Molecule: long non-coding RNA, 611 nt
Filed under: Homo sapiens (human)
Lineage: Eukaryota; Metazoa; Chordata; Mammalia; Primates; Hominidae
Description: non-protein coding lnc-TDRD3-26:2
Source: RNAcentral
UAUUUCUAAAUUGGAAUCAAAAUCUAUUACAAUCUGUGCAGUAACAGGCUGUGAAGGGUCAACUGUGACGUUUCAUUUUUAUGUUUGUCUUCUAUAUUUGCUUCUUCUCUAUUUCUUUUGAACUUUAACUUCACAAACACAACUACACAAAAGCUUUCCUAAGCAGAAAUAGCUUUUUUCCCUGCCCAUGCACCUGGAAAAGUUGUGAACUCUCAAAACCAGCCUGUGAAGGCAGCUGGGAUGGAGGUUGCGACCUGCAAAGCCACAGGGGUGAAGCUGCCCAAAACCAUGGGACACCACCUCUUGUAUCAGAGUGACCUGGAUGGAGACAUGGACCCAAAGGAGAUCAUUUUGGAGCUUUAAGAUUUAAUUGCCCUGUUGGAUUUCAGACAUCUGUGGAGUCUGUAGCCUCUUUGUUUUUGCCAAUUUCUCCCAUUUGGAAUGGCUGUAUUUACCCAAUGCCUGUACCCCCAUUGUAUCUAAGAAAUAACUAACUUGCUUUUGAUUUUACAGGCUCAUAGGCAAAAGGGUCUUGCCUUGUGUUAGAUGAGACUUUGAACUGUGGACUUCUGAGUUAAUGCUGAAAUGAGUUAAGACUUUGGGAUACUGUU